This is a long non-coding RNA of Schistocerca gregaria, 416 nucleotides long. RefSeq lists it as uncharacterized. The transcript has 3 exons. NCBI's taxonomy places the organism in Eukaryota, Metazoa, Arthropoda, Insecta, Orthoptera, Acrididae. The record is from RefSeq and is a predicted model, not a curated record.
GCCAGACAGCUGAAAGAAGAAACCGCCAUGGCGCGAUCCCUCGCACUGGUGUGUCUCCUUGCUAUGGCCUGCCUCGCACUGUUGGUGGUUACUGAGACGUGUGCGACACCGGAUGGCUACCCAUACAAGGGAUACCCGUAUCCCUAUCCAUACCCUGGGUACUACCCACCUUGGGGCCACAAAUACCCCGGCUGGGGAGUUCCUGGAUACCCCUACACAUACUACGGCUACCCAUACCCGUGGUGAACGGGACGCCCUGCACCAGCUGCUGAUUGGCCAGUACCUUCACAGCGCAGUCCGCAGUUUAAUGCUGCUGCUGUGUACCUGAUAAUUCGCCAGAAUCGCGUGUCCUUAUAAUACAUAUUGUUCUUGUUAUUAUAAUACGUGUAGUUCCUGUUCUGCUGUAGACUGUUAUA